Molecule: long non-coding RNA, 1705 nt
Organism: Bos indicus x Bos taurus (hybrid cattle)
Lineage: Eukaryota; Metazoa; Chordata; Mammalia; Artiodactyla; Bovidae
Source: Ensembl
GACACAGAUUUUCCGAUUUGGAUCCUGGACAGACUAAUUUGUCAUGUCACAAUCCCCCAGAGACCAGGUCCGCGGUGCAUACACUCGCUCGCUCAGUGCCCCCCAGCCAGCUCUCGCCUCCGCGCCACCAGCUGCGCCCUGCACUCUCCUCGCUGCACCCCACGACCUAGAGCCAAAAAAGUUCCUGCAGCCAGUGAGGGCCACAGAGGACAGCACGCCCACGGAGUGCCAUCCAGACCAACAUGGCCCCGCCGGCGAGAGGGGAACACCCCGAGCCCAGGCGGCAGCGGCUAGCUCAAGUCUGUGACCCCCACCCCUCUGCCCACCAUGGGCGCUGCUGCCCGCGAUCUGAUUCUUUCUCCACAUAAGCACUGUAUUGGGAGAUGGUGUAGAUAAAGUUUCAUGCAUUGGAGAAGGAAAUGGCAACCCACUCCAGUGUUCUUGCCUGGAGAAUCUCAGGGACGGGAGACCUGGUGGGCUGCCAUCUAUGGGGUCGCACGUAGUCUGACACAACUGAAGCGACUUAGCAGCAGCAGCAGCUGUAAUCUGAAUGGCACACUGGAACAAGAGCUGAGGUAUCCCACCUGCAAGUCCUCUGGUCAUUGCAGCCCAGACCUCCAUCACAGUCACACUGACCUGGAGAGUGUUCCAGACCCAUCACCCCUUGGACCCACUGCCUGGUUUCUCCUCAGUCUGUGGAGCUAGACUGGGUCCAGACUUUGGCCUUGCUUCCUGCUGGGUAUGGGGUAUACAACACGUGUUGGCUUCAGUUUCCUCAUUUGAAAAAUGGAUAUAUUAACAAGACAUACCUCUUGGGGCUUUUAAUGAAGACUGGUAGAUCGCUGUUCAGUUGAGUUCAGUUCGGUUUCUCAGUCGUGUCCGACUCUUUGCAACCCCAUGAAUCGCAGCAUGCCAGGCCUCCCUGUCCAUCACCAACUCCCAGAGUCCACCCAAACUCAUGUCUAUUGAGUCAGUAAUGCCAUCCAACCAUCUCAUCCUCUGUCGUUCCCUUCUCCUCCUGCCCUCAAUCUUUCCCAGCAUCAGGGUCUUUUCCAAUGAGUCAGCUCUUCGCAUCAAGUGGUCAGAGUACUGGAGUACCAGCUUCAGCAUCAGUCCUUCCAAUGAACACCCAGGACUGAUUUCCUUUAGGAUGGACUGGUUGGAUCUCCUUGCAGUUGAAGGGAUUGUCAGGAGUCUUCUCCAACACCACAGUUCAAAAGCAUCAAUUCUUCGGUGCUGAAGUACUGCCAAACCCAGUGAGUCAUGCCUCCCUGAACCCAUGCCCUUGUGAGAUCCCCUGUGAUAUUGAUUUGGUUUCACCAUGUGGCCUCUUUGGGCAAAGACAGAAGCAGAGGCUUGAUCAGUGUGUGAACAUUGUGUUUUUACACUCUCUCGUUUGCUGCUUUUUUGAAUGCAGCCACCACUUGGAGAAGCCUGGGUAGACUUGCUGGUUGAUGAGAGACAACUGUUCAGCUAACCCACCCCCAUCCCACCUUCCCUUGGUCAACUACUAGACAUGUAAAUGAGGCCAUUUGGAACUAGUCAGUCUGGCUAACUUGCCAAGUGAUUGUAAACACAUGAAUGCUUCCAGGUGACACUAUAUGGAGCAGAGAUGAAUUUUACCAACUAAAUCCAAAUUGCCAACCCACAGAAUCUUUAGCAAUUAAGUGAUGAUUGAGUUAUUCAGUUUUGGAGCAAUUUCUUA